This is a non-coding RNA of Misgurnus anguillicaudatus (oriental weatherfish), 1852 nucleotides long. The record is from RefSeq and is a predicted model, not a curated record. Lineage: Eukaryota; Metazoa; Chordata; Actinopteri; Cypriniformes; Cobitidae.
UAAUAUAAACAGGGCCUUAGUUUUCGGACGCAGCGGUAGUAGAGGGCUGUACUUCCCACACAUGCGACUUAUUCGUGUAUUGCAGUUUGGCUGGCGGUUAUGUACGUGGCCUGCAUACCGCCUCCCAUGUUUGAAACUGGUAUUACGACACCUGUCGGGCUGUAGCUAGUAAUUUAGCAGGCUAAUUCAGAUUCAGAUCUCUGCAGCACUAUACCUUGUCAUUUUUUUUAGGACAUCUUUGCCCUUAUUUCUUCUCAUUCUUUUGAUGCGUGUAGCUCAUUUUUAAAAAUCUUUUACCUCAAUUAUUACAAAUGGCACCUUUAAGUCUUUUUACUGUUUCUUUGGUGUUCUUCAAACUUUUAUGGUGUUUAUAAUGUAAAAAAAAUUAUGUAUCAUUAUAUCCAAUUCAACAGGUCCAGGCAAGUAGUCUGUACAUUACAGAUGAUGCAAACACUACAGUAUUCCCAGACCCAACUGGACGAUUUUGCACCUACAGUCUCACACAUCGCGGUCCACGGAGAUCCAGAUCAAAGUCAGCCCCCUGCAAAUAGGGCCCUAAACACUGCAAGCGUUCCUUUUGCCUUCAUGCGCCGACCUUCAUUUUCUGCUUCCACUGACACACCAGGAGCUUCGCCUGGAACUCCACGAGCUGGUGGGCUGUUCCCAGCAAGAUCGUUCCAAAGAUUAGUUGUAAAUUAUGCAACUCAUCUCUGCUACUAAAAGUUGAUCCUAUGAUAUAUUCAUAUUAUUUUUAUUGUGUGCGAUUUUUAAACCGUCUGAUUAAUCCCCAGGUCAAUCCAUAUUGCUGAAGUAGUUAAUGAAAAGUUAAGUACUUCACGGACAGUGGUCAUAUGCUUUUUGGAAGCUGAUGCAACUGUUGAAGGAAUAACGUCAAAGGUGAAGGAUGCCUUAAGCUGUCAUGAGCCACUAACCCUGACAGACAGCCAAGGAAAUGAAAUAACUGACUCCGAGGCCACAAGAAGUUCCCAGUACUGGAAACAGAACUCCAGAAAAAUCUUUGCCAUCUCAGAACAAGAAUUUGUGGAGUUCCAAAAUGGAAGAAGAGGUUAAGUUAGUCGAAGGACUGACGACGGUUCGAGCCUACAGGAGGUUGUUGCUAAAAUUGAUCAACUAAAGCAAGCUGCCGAGGGCCUCCAAGACAUCACUUCAACUAUAAACCAGUUGUCUGAGCUUGCAAAAACUCAAACCACAGCCGUAAUGUCAAAUGCCUCUCGGCGGCAAAUUAAGGAGGCAUUCACCUGUCUUAUUUGUAAAGCUCUAUUGUCAGAGCCCAUGUUUGCCACAUGUUGCCAGUCUCUGGUUGGAUGCCGAACAUGUGUGGAGCAGUGGCUGUUAACUGCAGACAGCUGUCUGAAAUGCAGAAAAGAAGAGUAAAACUCCAAGGUGCAUCAGGUUAGGGGUCUCUCGGAUGUUCUUUCUUUCUUCAAUGAGAUCUAACAAAGAGAUUGUUAGUUAUGCAUCAUUGUUUUAGUAAGGAUGGGCAUACGUGUUACCAGAAAGCUACAGAGGCUGCAAAGUUUGUAUUUCAAGCAAACUGCUGUUAAAUUCAGUUCUCAAAGUUGUACUGUAAUGUAGGUAUGAUAAGCUGCAACAUCCUGUUUAAUGUUUAUAGUAGAACACUAGUUGGUAAAUGCAAUUAAGUUCAAGGAUGCUAAUGUUACAGUAUCUUCAUUCAAUCUGAUGAGCUUAGUUUUAGACACAAGCUCAGUUUGUUUACAAGACCACUAAAAAAAGACUCGACUGAGAAAGACUUGUAAAAGUGGAAUGUAUUUGGGAUAAAGUGCAAUUGUUAUGUAUUGAAGCGGGUUUUACAGUUUCCGUAAUAAAUGUU